UAGCACUCCCCUUGACAAGAAUGGAGGAGGCCCUCGGGCCUGACAACACACAAGGUUAUUAAGGCAUUGACACCUGCUUCCAAGGACGUUUUAUU
RNAcentral lists this non-coding RNA (95 nucleotides) under Rhinopithecus roxellana (golden snub-nosed monkey). Lineage: Eukaryota; Metazoa; Chordata; Mammalia; Primates; Cercopithecidae. The record is from RNAcentral.